RNAcentral lists this ribosomal RNA (256 nucleotides) under uncultured bacterium. Its description in RNAcentral is "partial 16S ribosomal RNA". It matches the Rfam family "Bacterial small subunit ribosomal RNA", at positions 524 to 775 of the family's 1533-position model. The record is from RNAcentral.
UACGUAGGGGGCAAGCGUUGUCCGGAUUUAUUGGGCGUAAAGAGCUCGUAGGCGGCUCGGUAAGUCGGAUGUGAAACCUCCAGGCUCAACCUGGAGACGCCAUCUGAUACUGCCGUGGCUUGAGUCCGGUAGAGGAGCAGGGAAUUCCUGGUGUAGCGGUGAAAUGCGCAGAUAUCAGGAGGAACACCAGCGGCGAAGGGCGCUGCUCUGGGGCCGGUACUGACGUGAGGAGCGAAAAGCGUGGGGGAGCGAACGG